AUGGCCGCACGCCUUGCGCUCGUGGCGGCGCUCCUGUGCGCCGGUGCCGCGGCCGCCGCGGCGCAGCAGGCGAGCAACGUCCGGGCGACCUACCACUACUACCGCCCAGCUCAGAACGGCUGGGAUCUGGGCGCCCCCGCCGUGAGCGCCUACUGCUCCACCUGGGACGCCGGCAAGCCGUUCUCGUGGCGGUCCAAAUCACGGCGAGGAUCGUGGAACCUCGACUGGGACACGGUGUUCGUCAAGAUCGACACCGACGGCAUGGGGUACCAGAGGGGCCACCUCAUCGUCAACUACCAGUUCGUCGACUGCCGCGACAACCGCAUCAACUUCCAUGGAAAGAACGAGACGCUCCCAGCCAGCACUCAUGCUGUUGAGUAA
Molecule: ribosomal RNA, 381 nt
Filed under: Triticum aestivum (bread wheat)
Lineage: Eukaryota; Viridiplantae; Streptophyta; Magnoliopsida; Poales; Poaceae
Description: partial small subunit ribosomal RNA
Source: RNAcentral